This is a long non-coding RNA of Oncorhynchus keta (chum salmon), 686 nucleotides long. RefSeq lists it as uncharacterized. The transcript is spliced from 4 exons. The record is from RefSeq and is a predicted model, not a curated record. NCBI's taxonomy places the organism in Eukaryota, Metazoa, Chordata, Actinopteri, Salmoniformes, Salmonidae.
UACCAGGUGACCUUGAGCGGUGGGUCACGCUACACCACCAGUCCCAGAGGUGGGUCACGCUACACCACCAGUCCCAGAGGUGGGUCACGCUACACCACCAGUCCCAGAGGUGGGUCACAUUACACCACCAGUCCCAGAGGUGAGCGGUGAGUCACAUUACACCACCAGUCCCAGAGGUGGGUCACAUUACACCACCAGUCCCAGAGGUGAGUCACGUUACACCACCAGUCCCAGAGGUGGGUCACGUUACACCACCAGUCCCAGAGGUGGGUCACGUUACACCACCAGUCCCAGAGGUGGGUCACGUUACACCACCAGUCCCAGAGGUGGGUCACGUUACACCACCAGUCCCAGAGGUGGGUCACGUUACACCACCAGUCCCAGAGGUGGGUCACGUUACACCACCAGUCCCAGAGGUGGGUCACGUUACACCACCAGUCCCAGAGGUGGGUCACGUUACACCACCAGUCCCAGAGGUGGGUCACGUUACACCACCAGUCCCAGAGGUGGGUCACGUUACACCACCAGUCCCAGAGGUGGGUCACGUUACACCACCAGUCCCAGAGGUGAGCGGUGGGUCACGUUACAACACCAGUCCCAGAGGUGGGUCACGUUACACCACCAGGCCCAGAGGUGAGCGGUGGGUCACGUUACAACACCAGUCCCAGAGGUGAAGUCAAGUAAAC